Small nuclear RNA from Paramacrobiotus metropolitanus, 114 nucleotides. RefSeq annotates it as U5 spliceosomal RNA. Lineage: Eukaryota; Metazoa; Tardigrada; Eutardigrada; Parachela; Macrobiotidae. The transcript has a single exon. The record is from RefSeq and is a predicted model, not a curated record.
CUCUUCUGCUUCCGUACAUAUCGUGAUUUUCUUACGCCUUUUACUAAAGAAAACCGUGUGUGGGAGGCGCUAUAUGAGCCGUAAAAAAUUGCUGACCGAUAUAUUAUUUGUUCA